AACAACAACAAAAACACAAACGGAAACAUCUGAUGGUUCUGGGAAGACCUGAACAUGCAUUACAUAAGUUGUUUUCUCUAGAUCUUUUUCAGUCUCCCCAUUUUUUUAUUUUUUUUUUGAAUGGCUGAAGAGUUUUAUCAUGUAAGAAAGUUUCCUGAUUAUCUACUCAACAUGUUAUCGCCCUCCUUCAGAAUGUUAUUAGAGAUGGAUGGUUCACUUUUACAGUUCACUGGCAUUUAUUGCUCCUGCUGAGAGAUUUCUGACAGCCUCACAAUAAUAUAAGACCUGUGUGGAAGUUCAGCUAACAUAAGACACAGCAAUAGCAACUUUUAGCUGAGAAGAGCUUAACAAAGCCACAGUUUUUCAUGUUUCAGAGCAAUUGAACUUUCUAUGACAAACUGCAGUUAGAGCUUUAUCUAAAGCUGUGAGCAAGGCACCUUUCUGGCAAGUCCUGCUGUAAACACUCAAGUAAUUCAUUGAUGCUAUUCUUGUCUCUUGGUGUGAGUCACCAGGCAUAUUGGUCAUACCUCUGCACAUGGACAAAGGCAGAGGAGACAGAAUACUGAAUAACGUGUGUGUUUAAAUUUAGUAAAAUAUUUUACUUCAGCCUGUUAGUCAGACUGGCUCCUUUGUUUUGACAGCAAUGCCAGGAGGUAUGUCCAAUCUUUUGUAGCCCACUUCACAGGUGCAAAACAAGUGGCCACACCUGCCAGUGCAGCCAGUAUGACUUUAUAUUCAACAUCAAUUAAUUUAGACAUCUAAGGAAGCACCUCAUCUGCACCCAUGGAGAACACAGACAUGGUUGUUAUCUGCCUUUUCUGGUCUGUGGAAGAUACAACAUCCUAAAUAUUGUGCCUUCAUGUGCAACAGCCUUUGCAAUGGGCACAGAAGUUGUCAGCAGAAGACCUGGACCUGUGCUACAGCUGGGGUGAGUUAAAUGGGAACUUACCCGAGUGGUGGCAAGCUGGUGGGAAGACAACUGCUCUAGGGAUGUGGCACGAGGACUGUGGCAAAGCCGUGCUGCCAGUCAUGAGAGUUUCCUUGUAUUUAAUCUUCAGAUCUUCAGCUCUGCCCCAGGCCAGCAGUGCCCAGCAGAGCUCACGAAGGGCGAGCUGAGGAGACGAGCUGUCCCUCGCUAGAAGAAAGGUCACCGAGACCUCCCUGCCUCUCGGAGGAGGGAGUAAUUCUCAUGGGACUGAUUCCAGGUUUAUUUCAACAGAACUUUUGUUAGGACAAAUGAUCACUUUGGGUGUACAAAUGCUGUUUAUAGCCAUCUCUGCUGUUCAGCAGGGGAUGAGAGAAAUUGCUGCAGCGAUUGACUUGUUCUCUUAGUUUUUAAUGCUGGCACCUCUCUGCGCUUCAGGGAGGCACAUGAGAAUUUAACAUCCUUGUGUUAACACUUUUUAAAAUUGUAGAAGGCCAUCAUUUUUUUUUGGUUCUAAUGUAAUGCUUCUGACAUGUAGUUUAAAUAUAAAGAUUGCAACAUUAUUGUGCAAGGGGUAUAAUAGCACACUGGCGUACACAGGCAUUUUGAUUUCUGUGUGAAGGAGCAGUGACAUUGCAAAGCUUUAAAAACCAGCUAUUAGUGAAAUAAGUGAUAAUUUAACUUUGCAGAAUGUGAAAUCCAUGCCAUGAAGUACAGAUUAGGUG
RNAcentral lists this long non-coding RNA (1650 nucleotides) under Anas platyrhynchos platyrhynchos (common mallard). RNAcentral's name for it is "lncRNA (ENSAPLG00000026775.1)". Lineage: Eukaryota; Metazoa; Chordata; Aves; Anseriformes; Anatidae. The record is from RNAcentral.